This 1314-nucleotide long non-coding RNA is filed under the name Hordeum vulgare. RNAcentral's name for it is "long non-coding RNA (HVUL_LNC010781)". Lineage: Eukaryota; Viridiplantae; Streptophyta; Magnoliopsida; Poales; Poaceae. The record is from RNAcentral.
CUGCUUCCAAGUGAGGUACUGUGAUCAAUUAUAUGAAUGUGCCAAUAUUGCCAGCCUUUUUUUUUUGCAGCAGCAGAUUUGCAGCUUUUUUGGUAUGUUUGGUGGCAAUUAUCAGGGUCACUAACUCCUAUGGUGCUAGGAUGGGGCCAAAGUACUAAAGGAUAUAUUGCUAAGCUGCUAGUUUGCGGAAGUUUUUGAAAUAUCGAGUAAGUAGGUGGCUGCUGAUUUCCCUGUGGUCAUCCAUAUCUGGCUCUAUGCUGCAUCUCCUUAGCUAUAUUCUAGUUGGCUAGAGGUUUUCCUGUAUCCUUUUUAGAUGCAUCAUAAAAAGAGUUCCAUGUUAUUGCUUUCUAUGCUAUCAUGGAGGAAACUUGCUGGGUUGUUUGUAGUUCUUAUUUGUAACUGUUUGCUGAAACCCUGAAACUGAUUAUUUAUUUUCCAACUUUCUAUACUCUGAAUUUUUCAUGCAUGUGCCUCCAAUGUUGCCAUGAAUAACUUUCGAAGGAACCGUUCUAGGAAGUAGAAAGGGGGGCUGUUUCUGGGAAGCAUCUCUCUCAUAAGUUUGUUCUUCAACUUGGGCACUUGAGCACAAACUGUGUGUGUCUGGACUUAAUAAUGCUGAGUUAUGUGAUAUAUACUGCAAGAUGAGCACCUAAGACUGCAAUGGUUGCCAUAUUAAAAAUCACCACCAUCUCAACUGUUCUUCUGGAUUCUGUUCGAUGUGAUAUGCUAAUUCUUGGUGAUUGUGCCUGCUAUUGAUGUAGUGUAAACCAAUUACCCAAGUGGCUGAGAACCAGAUGAGGAUAUGGUGAUAUGCUGGCUGUCAUCGCUGACGGAGACAGGUGGUGCUUCUGUCUCUGUGGACUUUAAAUUUUGGCCUUUUCCUUUUAAAUGUUCGUCCAUCAUUAUCCAGAAUAAAUUCCUGCAUUACAGCAUUUGGAGUCAGAAUAAGGUUCUGAAGACACCUGAUUGCUUUCAAUUCCAUACCACAGUGAAUUAAAUGUUCUGAAUAUGGUUGCAAGCGAAGACCCUUGUGCUGUUGCUAUUUACUGUAUUAGAGUAGAUCUUCAUUCCAUGUGCAAUAACUUCCGCUAUUAUGCAAACUAGUAGAACCACAAUAUAUUUCUGGAUAAGUACUUGUACGAAAAUUGUACUUUCCACAGUAGUGCAAUCUUUUAUUUGUUUUCUCUUCCUCUGUUGAUUGAUUAGGCUGAGAUAGGUUUCUGAAAUGUUUUAGAGAGAUUGAAGAGUUACAUAGUAAAUACACAGCAACCUGAAGUGAUGGUGCUCACCCAACAAUUUAUCAAUUACAGUUUC